Molecule: long non-coding RNA, 208 nt
Organism: Myotis myotis
Lineage: Eukaryota; Metazoa; Chordata; Mammalia; Chiroptera; Vespertilionidae
Exons: 3
Source: RefSeq, a predicted model, not a curated record
CUUCCCUUUAGAUAAAAGAGCCUGGAUAUUUUCUUCUUCUUUCUUGGUUAUGUGAAUGCUGGAAACAUGACUAUGGCGUUGGUAUUCUACAGUGGGACACUACCUGGAGCUGUGACAAAGGAUAUAAAGAGAAUGAUUGAUUUACUGGUUUCAGAGGUCAGAUGUCUAAAAUGGCUUCACAGGGCUGCGUUCCUUCUGGAGGCUCCAG